Molecule: non-coding RNA, 371 nt
Organism: Actinomyces sp.
Lineage: Bacteria; Bacillati; Actinomycetota; Actinomycetes; Actinomycetales; Actinomycetaceae
Source: Rfam
GGGGAUGAUCGGUUUCGACGACGGUCGUGGAUUCAGGAGAAGCGGGUCGAGGAUGCACAGUCAUCUCGUCAACGCUCUGUGCGAACCAAUAGGUGCCGAUAACACUCGCACCGACUUCGCCCUCGCCGCCUGAGGCGAGCCUCGAAGUCCGUCAGCCCGGGGGAGCUUCCGCCCCGGUUCCUGGCGUCAUCUAGGAAGCCACUGCUGAGGCCCCUCGCCACCGGGGGUCCCGGGACUUUCAGGUGGCUGAGCCCGUCGGCGUCCUUGUUCGCGUGAGACGCCGGGGCUGAGAAACUCAGCAGCGAACUGCACCCGGAGAAGUCCUGUUGCACCACCGUCGGACCGGGGUUCGAUUCCCCGCAUCUCCACUA